CAUGCAAUAAGCAAUAUGUGGGACUCAUGUCAUACAGGACGCCACUAUUACAAGGUUCAAAAACCAUAAAGAAAAGCAAAAUAAUUCACAACUUAAGUAGAAAAGAACAAGUUAUUUUCACACAUUUACGAACAGGGCAUUCAAAUCUAAAUCACACUUUACACAUUAUAGGGAAACAUGACACAGGUCUAUGUGAUGUCUGUUCAGUAGAGGAAACUGUAGAGCAUGUUAUGCAGAAAUGCAAGACAUAUGAAAUACAAAGGAGGAUUCUUAAGCAAGAAUUACAAGCAGUAUGAUGCCAAGAAUUUUAUAUAACUAGCUUAUUAAAUGAUGGUCCAAAUUCAAGGAAACAAAUGCAUGCAGUCAUGAGAUGUAUUAAGAAUAGUGGUCUAUAUAGUAGGAUAUAGGAGGGUUAUUCAUUCUUUUCACACUCCAUCACAGUAGGUGGCGGUAUGCACCUUGGAUGUUGGUUCGCAAACCGCCAUUAAAAUCAAAGAAGAAGAGAUUGUUCUCAUGAACGACCCUGAACACGGCUCCGUUGAUUUGAAGUUCUGUAGAAACGUGUGAAUCUUUGGAAACAGUAAAGCUGCUCCAGUCAGGAUUAUUAUUUGACCUGAAACCCUUCACUGAUCUGUACUACAAAGUAAAACAAAGAGAAAUCAGCAGCUUAUUUCACUAACACUACACUUGUGAUGCAAGUGUUCAGACGGGCUUUUUGGUGGUUUAAAGGAGAAAUUGUGAGUCAUGCAGUUUCAGUCUGGAGGAGGUGUUUAAACGAGUUUCCAGCUCAUUCGACACAGACACAGCAGCACUGAUCUCAGACCAGAUGUUUCCUCUUCAUCUCAUCACAUGCUGAAGAAAACACUUUACCUGUAAUUAUUUGAUAACACAAAUGUAAAUGUAAGAGAAAUUGAUGAAUGGGAGAACAUAUAUGGAGCAUCACGAACCGCAGGAUAAAUAAGCACAUGAAGAAGAGAAAAAUUGUAACAAAGAGGACAAAAUGUUACAAUCUAAAGAAGCAAAGAAACCGAGUCUAUUCAGACGGAGCAGUAUUAAUAGCGGCAAACCAAACUUUUCUCAUGAUCCAGACAAACCUGAAGAGAUUCAUUCUGAUGAUUCAGAUGGAGACACAGACGAGGUCAGAUAUUACACAUCAUACACAGAGAAAUAUAUUCAAACUAUGUACAAAUUAUGCAGCAACUUAGCCAGUUUAUCAUAUUAUUUUUAAUAUUAUUUAAAAUUAUUAGAUUAAACAGUUUUAUAUCCAUAGUUAGGACAGGCGGUGUAGAAGACUGUCUUGUUUUUACAUAUUUUGCAUGUUUUCAUAUAAAUUAAGCUUUACAGUAUGUUACUGUACUGUAUGAUACUGUAUAUACAUUUAAGACACUGACAGUAAUGAUUUAUUAUAUAUUAUUAUUAUUAUUAUAUUAACAAAAUGAAAUUUUUAGAAUGAAUUUCACUGUAAUAAAUGCUGGAAUAAUGCUGGCUGACACGUCUUGUAAAAAUAAAUCUGAAUAAUAUUUCUGUUUACGAAAACUUGUGUUUAGUUUGAUGUUGUUGGCUACUUUCUAUUUUAUGACAAAAGUUCAGUGAGGAAAAUGUGUUUGUUAAUAAUUUUAGGCACAAAUGAUCACAGACUCUUUCACUUCCUCAGGUAUCUGAAAUAUGAUUUUACUGGAGAAGAUCAGAGGCAGAAUCUCUUUCAUCAGCGUUUAACCUGCAUUCUGCUAUAAAAAUUUAAAUAAACUUCCUCUAUGCUUUCUUUU
This is a long non-coding RNA of Carassius carassius (crucian carp), 1766 nucleotides long. RefSeq lists it as uncharacterized. NCBI's taxonomy places the organism in Eukaryota, Metazoa, Chordata, Actinopteri, Cypriniformes, Cyprinidae. The transcript is spliced from 5 exons. The record is from RefSeq and is a predicted model, not a curated record.